RNAcentral lists this ribosomal RNA (1235 nucleotides) under metagenome. Its description in RNAcentral is "bacterial LSU rRNA". It matches the Rfam family "Bacterial large subunit ribosomal RNA", at positions 1564 to 2808 of the family's 2925-position model. The record is from RNAcentral.
UGAAUACGAGACGCUAAGGCGUCGAAGUAGUGUAUGUCAUACUUCCAAGAAAAGCUUGCACUGUCAUAAAUAAAUAAUGCCUGUACCAUAACCGACACAGGUGGGUAGGUAGAGUAUACUAAGGGGCGCGAGAUAACUCUCUCUAAGGAACUCGGCAAAAUAACUCCGUAACUUCGGGAGAAGGAGUGCCUUAUUUAUAAGGUUGCAAUAACAAGAUCCAAGCAACUGUUUAUCAAAAACACAGGUCUCCGCUAAGUCGCAAGACGAUGUAUGGGGGCUGACGCCUGCCCAGUGCCAGAAGGUUAAAGAAGUUGGUUAGCACUUGCGAAGCUGAUAACUGAAGCCCUGGUGAACGGCGGCCGUAACGAUAACGGUCCUAAGGUAGCGAAAUUCCUUGUCGGGUAAGUUCCGACCCGCACGAAAGGCGUAAUGAUUUGGAUACUGUCUCGGAGAGGGGCUCGGUGAAAUAGACUUGUCUGUGAAGAUGCGGACUACCUGCACCAGGACAGAAAGACCCUAUGAAGCUUUACUGUAACUUGAAAUUGAAAUUGGACUUUAUUUGCGCAGUAUAGGUGGGAGGCGUUGAUUGUAAUCUUGCGGGAUUAUUGGAGCCAUCAGUGAGAUACCACUCUUGUAAUGUUAGAUUUCUAACUUUGUAUCAUUAUCUGGUCAAAGAACAGUUUCAGGCGGGCAGUUUGACUGGGGCGGUCGCCUCCUAAACGGUAACGGAGGCGUACAAAGGUUUCCUCUGAACGGUUAGAAAUCGUAUCUAGAGUGUAAAGGCAUAAGGAAGCUUGACUGUGAGACCUACAAGUCGAGCAGGGACGAAAGUCGGUCUUAGUGAUCUGACGGUACUGAGUGGAAAGGCCGUCACUCAACGGAUAAAAGUUACUCUAAGGAUAACAGGCUGAUCUCCCCCAAGAGUUCACAUCGACGGGGAGGUUUGGCACCUCGAUGUCGGCUCGUCGCAUCCUGGGGCGGUAGUACGUCCCAAGGGUUGGGCUGUUCGCCCAUGAAAGCGGUACGCGAGCUGGGUUCAGAACGUCGUGAGACAGUUCGGUCCAUAUCCGGUGUAGGCGUUAGAAUAUUGAGGGGAGCCUUCUUUAGUACGAGAGGACCGAGAAGGACAUACCUCUGGUGUACCAGUUAUCGUGCCAACGGUAAACGCUGGGUAGCUAUGUAUGGAGUGGAUAACCGCUGAAAGCAUCUAAGUGGGAAGCCCACCUCAAGAUAAG